RNAcentral lists this ribosomal RNA (654 nucleotides) under uncultured bacterium. Its description in RNAcentral is "bacterial SSU rRNA". It matches the Rfam family "Bacterial small subunit ribosomal RNA", at positions 241 to 896 of the family's 1533-position model. The record is from RNAcentral.
UUAGCUUGUUGGUGAGGUAACUGCUCACCAAGGCAUCGAUCUAUAGCUGGUCUGAGAGGAUGAUCAGCCACACUGGGACUGAGACACGGCCCAGACUCCUACGGGAGGCAGCAGUAGGGAAUAUUGGUCAAUGGGCGAGAGCCUGAACCAGCCAUGCCGCGUGCAGGACGACGGCCUUCUGGGUUGUAAACUGCUUUUAUACAGGAAUAAAAAGUGCCUGCGGGCGAAAUUGCAUGUACUGUAUGAAUAAGCACCGGCUAACUCCGUGCCAGCAGCCGCGGUAAUACGGAGGGUGCAAGCGUUGUCAGGAUUUAUUGGGUUUAAAGGGUGCGUAGGCGGUUAUUUAAGUCAGUGGUGAAAACCCUGAGCUCAACUGAGGGCUUGCCAUUGAUACUGGAUAACUUGAUUACCGUACAGGUAGGCGGAAUUUAUGGUGUAGCGGUGAAAUGCAUAGAUACCAUAAAGAACACCGAUAGCGAAGGCAGCUUACUGGAGGGUAAAUGACGCUGAUGCACGAAAGCGUGGGUAGCGAACGGGAUUAGAUACCCCGGUAGUCCACGCUGUAAACGAUGAUCACUCGAUGUGUGCGAUAGACAGUACGCGUCCAAGCGGAAGCGUUAAGUGAUCCACCUGGGAAGUACGACCGCAAGGUUG